This 780-nucleotide ribosomal RNA is filed under the name Triticum aestivum (bread wheat). RNAcentral describes it as "partial small subunit ribosomal RNA". Lineage: Eukaryota; Viridiplantae; Streptophyta; Magnoliopsida; Poales; Poaceae. The record is from RNAcentral.
UUUCUUAUGUGGAGCCUGUGCAUCAGCUUAUCUCGCUCCACAUCAGGCAACGGCCGGCACGCGCGCCUUAAGUUCACCGCUAGCUGUGUGGUAGUGCUGCCUGCUGCGUCCGCUCCACUCUGCCAGCUAGCGCUCAUGGCAUCUCUUGAGCUCGACUCUACCCUAGUCCUCUGCCUCCUUUUCGUGGUAUCUUGCUUCACCAUCGUCCUCAGAGGCUUCGGAUAUGGCCGAAAGGGCACGCAGCCGCCUUCGCCGCCUGGGUUGCCCAUCAUCGGCAACCUGCACCAGCUCGGGCGGGGCCGUCCUCACCGGACUCUGGAGGCUCUUGCGCGGCGCCACGGCCCGCUCCUCCUCCUCCGCCUCGGCUCCGUGCGGGCCAUCGUGGUCUCCUCGGCCUCGCUCGCCGAGGCGGUGCUGAGGACCCAGGACAACGUCUUCUGCAGCCGCCCGCAGCAGUACACGGCCCGCGGCACGCUCUACGGCUGCCGGGACGUCGGCUUCAGCGCCUACAACGAGCGGUGGCGCCAGCUCCGCCGCAUCGCCGUGGUGCACCUCCUCAGCAUGAAGCGGGUCGACUCCUUCCGCGCUCUCCGGGAGGAGGAGGUCGCGCGCUUCGUGGGACGGGUCCGCGCGGCGAGUGGGAGUGGCGCGCACGAGGGGCGUCGGGGAAUCAACGUGACGGAGCUCAUCAUCACCUUAACCUACACCGUGAUCUCCAGGGCUGCGUUCGGGAACAAGCUUGGUGGGGUGGAGCCGGUCAAGGUCCGCGACAUGAUGAAG